This is a long non-coding RNA of Myotis daubentonii (Daubenton's bat), 566 nucleotides long. RefSeq lists it as uncharacterized. Lineage: Eukaryota; Metazoa; Chordata; Mammalia; Chiroptera; Vespertilionidae. The record is from RefSeq and is a predicted model, not a curated record.
CUUACAAUUACGUAUGUGGCGCAUGUUGCAUUUCUGUUCGACAGUGCCGAGACCUUCAUGGGCACUCGGGGAAGAUGUUCUCACCAGCAUCCCCGAGGAGUCCGAGGUAAGUCCUUCGCUCGCCCUGUGGGGAGAAGACUGACGGAUACUUUAGGAAGGCAGGCCUAGGAGGCCGAGAGCCUGGACUAGAUGGAUGCCGGAGUUUGGGUAAGGAGGUACAUCAGAGCAAGACCCCGGAAUCAAGAGAUAAAGUUGGCCUUUUCAAGUGCUGGAACAGUGCUCUGGUAACCUGCCCUGUGUUUGCGGCUCUUUAAGCGACACAGUAGUCACGCCAUGUUUCCCUGGCUGCAGGCCGUGCCCAGUGCUCCGCGAAAGCCCCAGCAAACUCCUGCAGGUCGUGAGCUCUCUCUGCAGAGUGUGUCCCUCCCAGUUCUCCAAGGCAGACUCUGGCCGCCUUCACAUCCCUUCCUGGGACCCCAGCUCCUCUCCCAGCUCUGCCUGGCACCCCUGCCCUGCACCCACCCCACACUUCUGCAGGCAGCAAGCCAGCGGCAGAGGGCGCACCU